This 429-nucleotide ribosomal RNA is filed under the name bacterium. RNAcentral describes it as "partial 16S ribosomal RNA". It matches the Rfam family "Bacterial small subunit ribosomal RNA", at positions 355 to 776 of the family's 1533-position model. The record is from RNAcentral.
UAGGGAAUCUUCCACAAUGGACGCAAGUCUGAUGGAGCAACGCCGCGUGAGUGAAGAAGGUUUUCGGAUCGUAAAGCUCUGUUGUUGGUGAAGAAGGAUAGAGGCAGUAACUGGUCUUUAUUUGACGGUAAUCAACCAGAAAGUCACGGCUAACUACGUGCCAGCAGCCGCGGUAAUACGUAGGUGGCAAGCGUUGGCCGGAUUUAUUGGGCGUAAAGCGAGCGCAGGCGGAAUGAUAAGUCUGAUGUGAAAGCCCACGGCUCAACCGUGGAACUGCAUCGGAAACUGUCAUUCUUGAGUGCAGAAGAGGAGAGUGGAAUUCCAUGUGUAGCGGUGGAAUGCGUAGAUAUAUGGAAGAACACCAGUGGCGAAGGCGGCUCUCUGGUCUGCAACUGACGCUGAGGCUCGAAAGCAUGGGUAGCGAACAGG